UUGGCAAUGUUCUUCUCUCAGUGGUUUCACUACGUCAUCCCACUGUCUCCCCACUGUAAAGUUUCUGCUGGUAAAUCCCGAUUACCGUCCCAGGCUUCCUUUUGAACCCAGGAAGAAAUGGAGGCCCAGAGAGUCCGCACCGCCGAAGAUCACACAGCUGGGGAGAGACCUUGAGCCUCCAGGUUGGGAACGUAGACCCGGCCUGAUGUGCAUGGGGCCUGGCCUCCCUCUGAAGAACAGCUGGACUGUGGACAAGUACCUGCAAGAAAUCCUUUCUGCAGCUGCCGAGAGUGAAAUGUUGGUGGUUAAGGGUUUGAGUCUGCACAGCCGCCUUUGUCCAGACUGUCAAUGACCGGAACCGGCCCUGGGACCCAGGCAAGGCCACUCUUGAAGUUUCCUCGAGUACCUGGUGCAGACCAGGGCUUCUCAACACUGAGCUGGGCUGAACCACGGAUUGGAGCCCAGGCUUCAAGAGGAGGGAACUGACCAGGCUGAACCUGAUGGUCAGUGAGCUACAGUGACUUGCCUGAGGUGAUCAGGUUCACACCUGACCUAUUUGCGGUGUGCCCCAAGACUGCUUGACUGCAAAGUCCAGAGUUGUGUUCCCUCCUCCACUUUUCCUCCCAAGACCGUCUGCACACUGAUCCCUUCACCAGAGCAUUCUACAGUGGCGACUCUCCAUUCCAUUUUAGUGACGGCUACCUCAGAGCCAUCGAAGCAUCGAGAGUAAGUCUUUCAGUCAACUCAGAAGAAGGAGACCUGAGCAGCUUAAGGAAGGGGACUAUACGAUUGGAAAAGAAGUGUAGAAUGCCCUGUCUCAUGUUUGGGUGGCUACCACCCAGCCUCAGAAAAACAGCUUCAAUUCAAAGCCUAUGUCCUACUUUUUACUUUUCCCUACUUCCUGAUUUGGAAAUACAAGUAGUAAGCUGUAUAUAGCGGCCUUUCAUACAA
Molecule: long non-coding RNA, 951 nt
Organism: Mustela erminea (ermine)
Lineage: Eukaryota; Metazoa; Chordata; Mammalia; Carnivora; Mustelidae
Exons: 5
Source: RefSeq, a predicted model, not a curated record